CCUACGGGCGGCAGCAGUGAGGAAUAUUGGUCAAUGGGCGCGAGCCUGAACCAGCCAAGCAGCGUGAAGGAUGACUGCCCUACGGGUUGUAACCUUCUUUUAUCGAGGGCUAAAGUGAGCCACGUGUGCCUUUUUGUAUGUCCUUUAUGAUUAACGAUCGGCUAACUCCGUGCCAGCGGCCGCGGUAAUACGGAGGAUCCGAGCUUUAUCCGGAUUUGUUGGGUUGAAGGGGAGGGUAGAUGGGUUGUGAAGGCAGGUGUGAAAGUUUGCGGUUAAAGGGUUAAAUUGCAAUUGAUACUGGCUGGCUUGAGUACAGUUGAGGUAGGAGGAAUGUGUGGUGUAGCGGUGAAAUGCAUAGAUAUCACGAAGAACUCCGAUUGCGAAGGCAGCUCACGAAACCGCCACUGACAUUGAUGCACGAAAGUGUGGGUAUCAAACAGGAUUAGAUACCCGAGUAGUC
RNAcentral lists this ribosomal RNA (460 nucleotides) under uncultured bacterium. RNAcentral's name for it is "partial 16S ribosomal RNA". It matches the Rfam family "Bacterial small subunit ribosomal RNA", at positions 338 to 795 of the family's 1533-position model. The record is from RNAcentral.